GAUGAAGAACGUAGCGAAAUGCGAUACUUGGUGUGAAUUGCAGAAUCCCGUGAACCAUCGAGUCUUUGAACGCAAGUUGCGCCUCAAGCCAUUAGGUUGAGGGCACGUCUGCCUGGGCGUCACAUAUCGUUGCCUGAUGCCAGUUUCCUCGUGAUGGGUGACUGUGCAGGGCGAAUGAUGGCUUCCCGUGAGCAUUGUUGCCUCAUGGUUGGUUGAAAAUUGAGUCCUUGGUAGGGAGCGCCGUGAUAGAUGAUGGUUGAGUGACGAACGAGACCCAAUCAUGUGAGACCCCUACCGAAUUUGGCCUUCAUGACCCACAUGCGUCUUUGGAACGCUCAUGACGAGACCUCAGGUCAGGCGGGGCUACCCGCUGAGUUUAAGCAUAUCAAUAAGCGGAGGA
Molecule: unclassified non-coding RNA, 400 nt
Filed under: soil metagenome
Description: partial contains 5.8S ribosomal RNA, internal transcribed spacer 2, and large subunit ribosomal RNA
Rfam family: 5.8S ribosomal RNA (bases 1-122)
Source: RNAcentral